Molecule: ribosomal RNA, 253 nt
Filed under: uncultured bacterium
Lineage: Bacteria
Description: partial 16S ribosomal RNA
Rfam family: Bacterial small subunit ribosomal RNA
Source: RNAcentral
UACGUAGGGACCGAGCGUUGUCCGGAAUCAUUGGGCGUAAAGAGCGUGUAGGCGGCUAUUUAAGUCCUGCGUGAAAUCCUGCGGCUCAACCGCAGACGGUCGUGGGAAACUGGAUGGCUAGAGUGCGGGAGAGGAGAGUGGAAUUCCCGGUGUAGCGGUGAAAUGCGCAGAUAUCAGGAAGAACACCCGUGGCGAAGGCGGCUCUCUAGUACGGUACUGACGCUGAGACGCGAAAGCGUGGGGAGCGAACAGG